This 497-nucleotide ribosomal RNA is filed under the name uncultured bacterium. RNAcentral's name for it is "partial 16S ribosomal RNA". It matches the Rfam family "Bacterial small subunit ribosomal RNA", at positions 28 to 507 of the family's 1533-position model. The record is from RNAcentral.
GAUGAACGCUGGCGGCGUGCCUAAUACAUGCAAGUCGAGCGAACAGACGAGGAGCUUGCUCCUCUGACGUUAGCGGCGGACGGGUGAGUAACACGUGGAUAACCUACCUAUAAGACUGGGAUAACUUCGGGAAACCGGAGCUAAUACCGGAUAAUAUAUUGAACCGCAUGGUUCAAUAGUGAAAGACGGUUUUGCUGUCACUUAUAGAUGGAUCCGCGCCGCAUUAGCUAGUUGGUAAGGUAACGGCUUACCAAGGCGACGAUGCGUAGCCGACCUGAGAGGGUGGACGGCAACACUGGAACUGAGACACGGUCCAGCCUCCUACGGGAGGCAGCAGGAGGGAUUCUCCCGCAAGGGGCGAAAGCCUGAGGGAGCAACGCGGCGGGAGUAAUGAAGGUUUUGGGAUCGUAAACCUCUUUUAUUGGGAAAAAAAAAAGGUGAAAGUAACUAUGCACUUCUUGACGGUACCUAAUCAGAAAGCCACGGCUAACUACGUG